AUCCAGCCUAAGAGUCCCAAAUAGGACGAAACGCGCGUCCUGGAU
Schistosoma mansoni is the source of this 45-nucleotide non-coding RNA. The record is from Rfam. Lineage: Eukaryota; Metazoa; Platyhelminthes; Trematoda; Strigeidida; Schistosomatidae.